CCUACGGGUGGCAGCAGUGAGGAAUAUUGGUCAAUGGGCGGGAGCCUGAACCAGCCAAGCCGCGUGAAGGAAGAAGGCGCCAGGCGUCGUAAACUUCUUUUGUCGGGGAACAAAGGGCGCCACGCGUGGCGUUGUGAGUGUACCCGAAGAAAAAGCAUCGGCUAACUCCGUGCCAGCAGCCGCGGUAAUACGGAGGAUGCGAGCGUUAUCCGGAUUUAUUGGGUUUAAAGGGUGCGCAGGCGGGAGAUCAAGUCAGCGGUAAAAUGUCGGGGCUCAACCCCGGCCGGCCGUUGAAACUGGUUUUCUAGAGUUGGAGAGAAGUAUGCGGAAUUCGUGGUGUAGCGGUGAAAUGCAUAGAUAUCACGAAGAACUCCGAUUGCGAAGGCAGCAUACCGGCUCCAUACUGACGCUGAGGCACGAAAGCGUGGGGAUCGAACAGGAUUAGAUACCCUAGUAGUC
Molecule: ribosomal RNA, 459 nt
Filed under: uncultured bacterium
Lineage: Bacteria
Description: partial 16S ribosomal RNA
Rfam family: Bacterial small subunit ribosomal RNA
Source: RNAcentral